CUCCUCUCAGCGUCUCAACUGGAGAGUUUCCAGUACCCUACCAGUCUCGACUAUAUUAGGGAGAGUCAAGCAGAAGCCUACCCAUUCCAUUCCUAGCUUGGCCAGUGGCUAGCGAGGGGAAGACAAUCUGCUACAAGU
Tachyglossus aculeatus (Australian echidna) is the source of this 138-nucleotide small nucleolar RNA. The record is from RefSeq and is a predicted model, not a curated record. NCBI's taxonomy places the organism in Eukaryota, Metazoa, Chordata, Mammalia, Monotremata, Tachyglossidae.